GGGGGGGCUAAACUGGCAGUCGAGCGAGCUUGCCUAGAUGAUUUUAAUGCUUGCACUAAAUGAAACUAGAUACAAGCGAGCGGCGGACGGGUGAGUAACACGUGGGUAACCUGCCCAAGAGACUGGGAUAACACCUGGAAACAGAUGCUAAUACCGGAUAACAACACUAGACGCAUGUCUAGAGUUUGAAAGAUGGUUCUGCUAUCACUCUUGGAUGGACCUGCGGUGCAUUAGCUAGUUGGUAAGGUAACGGCUUACCAAGGCAAUGAUGCAUAGCCGAGUUGAGAGACUGAUCGGCCACAUUGGGACUGAGACACGGCCCAAACUCCUACGGGAGGUAGCAGUAGGGAAUCUUCCACAAUGGACGAAAGUCUGAUGGAGCAACGCCGCGUGAGUGAAGAAGGGUUUCGGCUCGUAAAGCUCUGUUGGUAGUGAAGAAAGAUAGAGGUAGUAACUGGCCUUUAUUUGACGGUAAUUACUUAGAAAGUCACGGCUAACUACGUGCCAGCAGCCGCGGUAAUACGUAGGUGGCAAGCGUUGUCCGGAUUUAUUGGGCGUAAAGCGAGUGCAGGCGGUUCAAUAAGUCUGAUGUGAAAGCCUUCGGCUCAACCGGAGAAUUGCAUCAGAAACUGUUGAGCUUGAGUGCAGAAGAGGAGAGUGGAACUCCAUGUGUAGCGGUGGAAUGCGUAGAUAUAUGGAAGAACACCAGUGGCGAAGGCGGCUCUCUGGUCUGCAACUGACGCUGAGGCUCGAAAGCAUGGGUAGCGAACAGGAUUAGAUACCCUGGUAGUCCAUGCCGUAAACGAUGAGUGCUAAGUGUUGGGAGGUUUCCGCCUCUCAGUGCUGCAGCUAACGCAUUAAGCACUCCGCCUGGGGAGUACGACCGCAAGGUUGAAACUC
RNAcentral lists this ribosomal RNA (900 nucleotides) under uncultured bacterium. Its description in RNAcentral is "bacterial SSU rRNA". It matches the Rfam family "Bacterial small subunit ribosomal RNA", at positions 41 to 902 of the family's 1533-position model. The record is from RNAcentral.